RNAcentral lists this ribosomal RNA (484 nucleotides) under uncultured bacterium. Its description in RNAcentral is "partial 16S ribosomal RNA". It matches the Rfam family "Bacterial small subunit ribosomal RNA", at positions 28 to 523 of the family's 1533-position model. The record is from RNAcentral.
GACGAACGCUGGCGGCGUGCUUAACACAUGCAAGUCGAACGAUGAAGCUGGAGCUUGCUCCGGUGGAUUAGUGGCGAACGGGUGAGUAACACGUGAGAAAUCUGCCCUUCACUCUGGGAUAACUGCGGGAAACUGUAGCUAAUACCGGAUACUUUCCCUGGUGGGCAUCCACUAGGGAAGAAAGAAUUUCGGUGAAGGAUGAUCUCGCGGCCUAUCAGCUAGUUGGUGAGGUAAUGGCUCAGCAAGGCGACGACGGGUAGCCGGCCUGAGAGGGGGACCGGCCACACGGGGACUGAGACACGGCCCAGACUCCUACGGGAGGCAGCAGUGGGGAAUAUUGCACAAUGGGCGAAAGCCUGAUGCAGCAACGCCGCGUGUGGGAUGAAGGCCUUCGGGUUGUAAACCUCUUUUAGCAGGGAAGAAGCGAAAGUGACGGUACCUGCAGAAAAAGCACCGGCUAACUACGUGCCAGCCGCCGCGGUAA